This 481-nucleotide ribosomal RNA is filed under the name Granulicatella adiacens. RNAcentral's name for it is "bacterial SSU rRNA". It matches the Rfam family "Bacterial small subunit ribosomal RNA", at positions 28 to 490 of the family's 1533-position model. Lineage: Bacteria; Bacillati; Bacillota; Bacilli; Lactobacillales; Carnobacteriaceae. The record is from RNAcentral.
GACGAACGCUGGCGGCGUGCCUAAUACAUGCAAGUCGAACGAGAGCGACCGGUGCUUGCACUGGUCAAUCUAGUGGCGAACGGGUGAGUAACACGUGGGUAACCUGCCCAUCAGAGGGGGAUAACAUUCGGAAACGGAUGCUAAAACCGCAUAGGUCUUCGAACCGCAUGGUUUGAAGAGGAAAAGAGGCGCAAGCUUCUGCUGAUGGAUGGACCCGCGGUGCAUUAGCUAGUUGGUGAGGUAACGGCUCACCAAGGCCGUGAUGCAUAGCCGACCUGAGAGGGUGAUCGGCCACAUUGGGACUGAGACACGGCCCAAACUCCUACGGGAGGCAGCAGUAGGGAAUCUUCCGCAAUGGACGCAAGUCUGACGGAGCAACGCCGCGUGAGUGAAGAAGGUUUUCGGAUCGUAAAACUCUGUUGUUAGAGAAGAACAAGUGCUAGAGUAACUGUUAGCGCCUUGACGGUAUCUAACCAGAAAG